CCUACGGGAGGCAGCAGUGGGGAAUUGUUCACAAUGGGCGCAAGCCUGAUGACGCGACGCCGCGUGGGGGAUGAAGGCCUUCGGGUCGUAAACCCCUGUCGAAUGGGACGAAAAGCCCGCGAUUUAACAAAACGCGGGACUGACGGUACCGUUAAAGGAAGCCACGGCUAACUCUGUGCCAGCAGCCGCGGUAAUACAGAGGUGGCAAGCGUUGUUCGGAAUUACUGGGCGUAAAGGGCGCGUAGGCGGCCUUCUAAGUCAGACGUGAAAUCCCCCGGCUUAACCUGGGAACUGCGUCUGAUACUGGGAGGCUUGAGUAUGGGAGAGGGAUGUAGAAUUCCAGGUGUAGCGGUGAAAUGCGUAGAUAUCUGGAGGAAUACCGGUGGCGAAGGCGGCAUCCUGGACCAUAACUGACGCUGAGGCGCGAAAGCUAGGGGAGCAAACGGGAUUAGAUACCCCGGUAGUCCUAGCCCUAAACGAUGAAUACUUGGUGUGGCGGGUAUCGAUCCCUGCCGUGCCGAAGCUAACGCAUUAAGUAUUCCGCCUGGGGAGUAUGGUCGCAAGGCUGAAACUCAAAGGAAUUGACGG
This 588-nucleotide ribosomal RNA is filed under the name uncultured bacterium. RNAcentral describes it as "bacterial SSU rRNA". It matches the Rfam family "Bacterial small subunit ribosomal RNA", at positions 338 to 916 of the family's 1533-position model. The record is from RNAcentral.